ACACACUCAAGAAGCGGCUGCUGCAAACCAGAGAGUCAGAGACGUCACAAUUUUCUACUCAGCCCCAUCUUGUUUGGUGACUGUUUCCCAUGGACAUAUGAUUUCUUUGACACCUCCUCGUGCUGUAUCAGUACUGUCGUCCUCCUCAUCUUCUGAAUCAAUGGGGUAGAUCCGGCAUUCAGGUUGUGCAAGUGGCUCCACUCCAAGUGGCUGUACUUUCCCUCCCCCUGAAGUCACUGCACAUUUUGGGGAAAGGCUAGCAAAGACAGAUGGGGCAUUGCAUCCUCUGCGGAGAAGUCUGCUCAGUGAAAGAGC
Molecule: long non-coding RNA, 315 nt
Organism: Myxocyprinus asiaticus (Chinese sucker)
Lineage: Eukaryota; Metazoa; Chordata; Actinopteri; Cypriniformes; Catostomidae
Exons: 3
Source: RefSeq, a predicted model, not a curated record